Molecule: ribosomal RNA, 460 nt
Filed under: uncultured bacterium
Lineage: Bacteria
Description: partial 16S ribosomal RNA
Rfam family: Bacterial small subunit ribosomal RNA
Source: RNAcentral
CCUACGGGUGGCAGCAGUGAGGAAUAUUGGUCAAUGGACGAGAGUCUGAACCAGCCAAGUAGCGUGAAGGAUGACUGCCCUAUGGGUUGUAAACUUCUUUUAUAUGGGAAUAAAAUGUUCCACGUGUGGGAUUUUGUAUGUACCAUAUGAAUAAGGAUCGGCUAACUCCGUGCCAGCAGCCGCGGUAAUACGGAGGAUCCGAGCGUUAUCCGGAUUUAUUGGGGUUAAAGGGAGCGUAGGUGGAUUGUUAAGGCAGUUGUGAAAGUUUGCGGCUCAACCGUAAAAUUGCAGUUGAAACUGGCAGUCUUGAGUACAGUAGAGGUGGGCGGAAUGCGUGGUGUAGCGGUGAAAUGCUUAGAUAUCACGAAGAACUCCGAUUGCGAAGGCAGUUCACUGGACUGCAACUGACACUGAGGCUCGAAAGUGUGGGUAUCAAACAGGAUUAGAUACCCUUGUAGUC